Molecule: ribosomal RNA, 440 nt
Filed under: uncultured bacterium
Lineage: Bacteria
Description: partial 16S ribosomal RNA
Rfam family: Bacterial small subunit ribosomal RNA
Source: RNAcentral
CCUACGGGAGGCAGCAGUGGGGGAUAUUGCACAAUGGGGGGAACCCUGAUGCAGCGACGCCGCGUGUGGGAAGACGGUCCUCUGGAUUGUAAACCACUGUCCCCAGGGACGAAAAUGCCGGUACCUGGGGAGGCAGCUCCGGCUAACUACGUGCCAGCAGCCGCGGUAAUACGUAGGGAGCGAGCGUUGUCCGGAAUUACUGGGUGUAAAGGGAGUGUAGGCGGGGAUGCAAGUUGGGUGUAAAAACUACCGGCUCAACUGGUAGUCGCACUCAAAACUGCAGCUCUUGAGUGAAGUAGAGGCAGGCGGAAUUCCUAGUGUAGCGGUGAAAUGCGUAGAUAUUAGGAGGAACACCAGUGGCGAAGGCGGCCUGCUGGGCUGUGACUGACGCUGAGGCUCGAAAGUGUGGGGAGCAAACAGGAUUAGAUACCCUUGUAGUC